Long non-coding RNA from Acipenser ruthenus (sterlet), 650 nucleotides. RefSeq lists it as uncharacterized. The record is from RefSeq and is a predicted model, not a curated record. The transcript has 3 exons. Lineage: Eukaryota; Metazoa; Chordata; Actinopteri; Acipenseriformes; Acipenseridae.
ACUGAUUGGAUCCAAGAAAGAGGGAGAUCUCAGAAUGCUACCUGUAAUUCAGCUCCUUGAAGAAAAAACGAAAUUUGAUCAAGGAAAGGGGAAAAAGUCAGUUUCGGUCAUCACUGUAUACAAGGAUAUAUCUACAAGUGAACUUGACAAGUACCUGAAAACCACACAAGAAGAACCACCGCAUCUUGUUCUUUGUGUUGCAAAGAACACCCUCCAGGAAGCUGUAAUAGUAGGGAUACUGUUGCGAUAUUUUGCCAAGCAAAACCUGUAUUGGAUGCUGUGCUUGUUCUCCUGGGAACGUACUAUGCCUUCCACCUGCAGUACCCCAAAGUUUAUUCGCAGGUGCUUGGAUUCCUGCAGCAAUAUAUAUUGGGAGACCCAUUUACUGGAUGCAAAUCCCAUCAAUACAGAUUUAUUUGCAAAAGGGUUUAACGAUUAAAUGAAUGAAUUACAACAAUAACGUUCUUACAUAAUUGUAAAUAUCUGUAAAGAAAUUAAAUAAUUGUAAAUUAUUUGUUAAAUCUGGAUUUCAUGAUAAGGUAGUAUGUUUUUAUUGUGUAUUUAAAUAAUUUAUUUGAGGGAGUGGUCAUAUACAGUAUUCUAUUUGAUGUUUUAGAUGUUUUUAAUACAAUCAUAUAUAUGUAUAUAGG